This 497-nucleotide ribosomal RNA is filed under the name uncultured bacterium. RNAcentral's name for it is "partial 16S ribosomal RNA". It matches the Rfam family "Bacterial small subunit ribosomal RNA", at positions 29 to 507 of the family's 1533-position model. The record is from RNAcentral.
ACGAACGCUGGCGGCGUGCCUCAUACCUGCAAGUCGAGCGGACGAAUCGAAAGCUUGCUUUUGAUUCGUUAGCGGCGGACGGGUGAGUAACACGUGGGCAACCUGCCCUGUAGACGGGGAUAACACCGAGAAAUCGGUGCUAAUACCGGAUAACACGAAAUGUCGCAUGACGUUUCGUUGAAAGACGGCGCAAGCUGCCGCUACAGGAUGGGCCCGCGGCGCAUUAGCUAGUUGGUGAGGUAACGGCUCACCAAGGCGACGAUACGUAGCCGACCUGAGAGGGUGAUCGGCCACACUGGGACUGAGACACGGCCCAGACUCCUACGGGAGGCAGCAGUAGGGAAUCUUCCGCAAUGGACGAAAGUCUGACGGAGCAACGCCGCGUGAGCGAAGAAGGCCUUCGGGUCGUAAAGCUCUGUUGUUAGGGAAGAACAAGUAACGCAGUAACUGGCGUUACCGUGACGGUACCUAACGAGAAAGCCACGGCUAACUACGUG